Rhipicephalus sanguineus (brown dog tick) is the source of this 774-nucleotide long non-coding RNA. RefSeq lists it as uncharacterized. Lineage: Eukaryota; Metazoa; Arthropoda; Arachnida; Ixodida; Ixodidae. The transcript is spliced from 3 exons. The record is from RefSeq and is a predicted model, not a curated record.
UUUUUAUCUACGGCUGGUUUCUGCAGAUCAAAAUGUUGCGAAGCCUCAGCGAGAGUGGAAAAGCGCGAGACUAUCUUUGUUCCACACCUUGAGCUCAGCCAAAUAACCCAGAAGUAUGUUACACAGUAAUAAAUGUUUCCCAUGGAGAAAAAGUUCUCUAUUUUAUGCAUUUAUGAUUGGCGCCCGCAAAUGACGGAUCGAUUGAAGGCGCUUAAAAAUCGCGAUUUCGGUUUCGGUUUCUGAUUGCGCGAAGCGCCACCUGCUUCCUGCUGCAAGCGUCGUGGCGACUUCCUGUUUACUUUUCUGGCUCCAACGCGUGCGUUCAACUUCCAAACUUCUGCGCUGUUCUACGUGACAUUGUGAAAUCUAUAUGGAUAUAUACGUGGUGGUCCUAUGUAGCACCACCCGGAGCAUCAAGCACCAAUAUUUGAUAUGCGACACUUUGCCUACUGGUCGUCAGAAGUCACACUGCGAAAAAAGUUCGGCAUAUCCCUCGCCUUGUGGGAAUCGGUUCCAUGCAAAGCAGUCAGCGAGUAGCUGUGCGUGCUGCAUUUUUUGGCUUUGAGCCAAGGAAUACAAAUGUAAAGCUUAUUAGACUGCUUGAAAAGCAGAGCUAACACUGGAACCGCCAUUAAAAUUAUCCCGACAUGACGCCUGAAUCAUAGGAGUAUCUCGCAGAUGUUGAACAGCUGAUGGCGGAAGGAGAAUGCCAAUAUCUUCCUUGUACAUUUCAAAACAAUUCUUGAACAUGUAAUUCCCGUCCAGAAGUGUUGC